This 70-nucleotide transfer RNA is filed under the name Hypselosoma matsumurae. RNAcentral's name for it is "tRNA-Ser". Lineage: Eukaryota; Metazoa; Arthropoda; Insecta; Hemiptera; Schizopteridae. The record is from RNAcentral.
AGAAUAGAAAUUUUUCUAAAAGAAGCUGCUAACUAUCUUUUAUAAACGAAUAAUAAUCGUUUUUCUCUUC